RNAcentral lists this long non-coding RNA (3507 nucleotides) under Homo sapiens (human). RNAcentral's name for it is "novel transcript". The stretch from base 2276 to 2412 matches the Rfam family "T-cell leukemia/lymphoma 6 conserved region 3". Lineage: Eukaryota; Metazoa; Chordata; Mammalia; Primates; Hominidae. The record is from RNAcentral.
ACAUGUCCUUAACCUUGGCACAACAAAUCUCUAAAUCGAUUGAGACCUGUCUCAGAUACUUCUUGGUUUACAAGAUGGAGGCUGAAAUUAAAGAGAAAGAUCCUCACUCAACUCACAGAGGAGCAGAAUGGGAAGAGGACUUAGUGAGAAUUCCCUGAACACAGGAGAAAACCGAAGCCCAGAGAGUGGAUGGCCAAGUCCAAGGUCACACAGCCAAGUGCAUCCGAGCAGCGCAGGAUCCAGGUUUCCUGCCCCAGUGCUCUUUCUGCAGCCCAUGCCACCUGUUUUCAUGCUAUCUCAGUUCACCUUCCAGCUACACACCUGCAAUCAGAAACAGAAAGUCUGAGAGUGUGUGUGGAGCCAAAGAGGGGACAGCAGUGGUGAGGCCAGUUUCAUGUCUUGUGAUUUAUUUUCUCCCUUUCUUUUUGGACUUUAAUCUUAAGUGGACAGCAAUUUGGAACAGUGUCAGCACCUUGUUGGAUUGUGCUGUUUGGGAGAGGUGACACAGAGUAUUUUAAAAGAGCAGGUUAAGAACUUUUCACAAGGAAUCAAUUGAGAGAAAAUAAAAUAGAAACAGACUGUCCCACAUUUGGGCUGAGCACCAAACACAUUUUUUUUUUUUUUUUUGAGACUGAGUCUUGCUCUGUCACUCAGGCUGGAAUGCAGUGGCGCGAUCUCGGCUCACUGCAGCCUUCACCUCCCGGGUUCAAGUGAUUCUUCUGCCUCAGCCUCCCAAGUAGCUGGGAUUACAGGUGCCCACCACCAUGCCAGGCUAAUUUUUGUAUUUUUAGUAGAGACGAGGUUUCACCAUGUUGGCCAGGCUGGUCUUGAACUCCUGACCAAGUGAUCCACCUGCUUCGGCCUCCCAAAGUGCUGGGAUUACAGGCACGAGCCACCGCACCUGGCCUCAAACAAGCUUUUUAAUUGCAUUCAGAAGUGCACCAACUAGGCACAGACCUCUGGCAUGGAGACAGAAUGGGAGGUUCUUGGUGUCUGGCCUGGUCUUGCAGAAAUCAGGGAGUUGUGGGGACCAGGCAGCCACUGUGCAUCAGAUAGGAGUUUCAGCAGCAGGCAACAGAAAGCCUGCCAAUGUAGCUGAAAUAAGAAGGGCUUAUUUUUAUCCCUGAACAGAAGCUUCCAGCACUGGUUCAUCAGAUCAGGGCACUGAGCUGGCAUCCCCAUUUAUACAGUUUUCCUUUCCUUCACCUUUGUAAGAUGCCUGGCACAGCUCUGAGCAUCAAAUAUCUGUGCCAUGUGGGAGCACACGAGGGGACAAGUGGGGAAUAGGGUCUCCUCUGUCCUCUGUCCCCAGGCUGGCUUCUCUCGUGGUAGAAGGACCCCCACAGCACCAGGCCUCAUAACUACCCUGCUGGUAAACUGCAGGUGCUGUCACGGCUUCCUGCCUUCGUAUAUGAAAUGUUCCUUGGCAGCUGGACUGCUGUUUGUUUACCGCACGCACAGCUCUGCUGCCUCUUGGUUACACCAGUGAGCUAUUGCUCCAUGACAAGCCACACCGAAAUGUAGCAAGCACUUAUUGUUGCCCACAUGUGUCAAGUCAGUUGAGUGUUUCUGCCAACCGGGGCCUGGCUUGGCCCACCUUGGCUGAGCUUGCUCUGGUGCUAGGGUCAGCUAGACAGGUCGGCAGGAGACCAGCUGCUCUAGAAGAGCCUGGACAGGAUGAAUUGGUUCUCCUUCCACGUGCAUCUUGCAUCCCUCCAGCCAAGGAUUUGAACCCAGGUCUCGUCUGACUCCAAAUGCACCAAGAGGAUGGAGCCCAGAGUGACACAGAGGAAGAGGCCCCUGGAUGGAUGCAUGGGGAAGAUCACGGGAAUUACAAGUGACAUCCUGAAGUAUGAUCACAAAUGUUUCAAAUUAAGCCUUCCUGCUAAGUUUCCAGAGGUGUGUGGCUCGGACGAAGUGUUUCCAGACCCUGAUCUACUGCAUGUCCUGCCUGUUGCUGGUUCUUUGCAGCAGUCCAUUGACCAAUGCUGUCUACAGCUUGAGAGCCUCUGCAGGCCAGGGCUGCUCUGUGCACAUCCUACGUUACUAUUCAAACUGCACAGCAGCAUGAAAAACAGGCCCUUCUUUUCUCUCAUUUACACAUAUGUGAAGAAGACACAGCAAGUGAGAAAACGUGACCGAAAGCCACGCGGACAGGUGGCCGCAGGGCCAAACCCAACUUCCGUGAUGUGAUCUGGCUACAGUUUGGAGCCCACAUAUUUCAAUAGUUAUCCCCAGGCCUGGCACGUCAAAGAGGCUCCAGAAAUGUUUGCUGAAGAGACAACAGAUUUACAUCCCAGACACAUUCACACUGGGCCAAGAGCAGCUGCCAUUGCAGAUUCGAGUCACGUCCUUUUUUCCUUCCUUCUCCUUCUUGGAGUUACAACAGAAGCUGGGGAGGUGAGAGUGCAGAAAGGACGUGGAUGAAGCAGAGAGGCACGUGCCUGUCUCAUUCGCCUCUGGAUCUGCUGCAUCCAGGACUGUGCCAGCACAAAGUGGGAGCCCGAUAAAUAUUUAUUGAAGAAAUGAAAGGUGACAAAAGGCAGAAGGAGGGAGACCCCAAAAAGAGUAUGAACCCAGCAUCACAGUGCACUUGUGGCAGAUGGCAGUGCAUACCCGGGAGCUACUCUCCUCCGGCCAGAUGCCCUUCUCCCAGCUGCCCGCCGUGUGGCAGCUCUACCCCGGGAGGAAGUACCGAGCAGCGGAUUCCAGUUUCUGGGAAAUAGCAGACCAUGGCCAGAUUGACUCUAUGGAGCAGCUGGUCCUAACAUAUCAGCCGGAGAGGAAAGACUGACACUGGGAGUGGCUGGCCCUGCUGGCCCUGCCUCUUCUGGCCUGGUGUCUCCUCAUGCCCCCUCAGUGAGGAUCUUCAUGUACCUGCUCUUCUGUUUGCACACCCAGCAUAGCCUCCUUGCAGGCAGAAGGCAGUAGGGCCCCUGCACACUCAGUUUCUCUCGUUUUCCUUAGUUAUCAGUCCUGUCCUGUCCCACUCAGGUCUGUACUUAGGGCAGCUGGCCUGGAUGGGCUUCACUGGGGCCCUGUCUGUGUGCUGAGCCAGUUUCCCCUGCUGGCUGCAAGCUGUGGGUUCUUUCUCCUCUGUGCCCCUCAUGCUGAUCUUCUAGAUGCCACUCCCAAAUCCCCUUCAUACCCACCAGGAUGUGUGCCCAGCCAGGCCUCCAGCACCCCCAGUGCAGCUCGUGAUUGGAAACUCACCAUCGGCAGGCAGUGGUUCGGUUUAAGAGAUGGCAUUAGAGGGAGCCCAGUCUGGAUGUGGACUUGGAUGCCCUGUGGGUAUCAGUUCUGCUGACACUUUGGCCCGAAAUAGAUCCAGUGCUGAGCAAGCAAUGUACACCAGAGCCUCAGUGAGCCCAUCUGCACAGUGGGGAGCAUGGAGGGAUGGGUUUGGCCUGUGCUUCUGCUUAUUCAGUCCUUCAGCUCACGGAAGGGAUGCUAGUCCGUGAAGGUGACCUCACAGUACUGGUUAAUUAAACUUUAUUGCUCACUGUC